UUGAGAGGACCGUGCUGAGCACGGCCCGUAGAGGGUACUUUUGGAAUUUUAAAAAUGAUGUUCAAACGAUAAAUAGGAUAUAAAAUAAUAUAUGUACUUUUUAAUCUUUCUACCAAGUAUAAAGUGUAACACUAUAAAUGGUUAGAAUUUUCAAAGUACAUUGCCUAAAUAGGCUCCUUUAUUCGUAUUAAGUGAAAGAGAAACAACCAUAUGUAACUGUCUAGUCUAACUGUCUAAGUGCCUAGGAUAAAGGGCCCUUUUAAUGAAAAACUUAGCAGCAUCUGCAAAAAAGGAAAAUGAAACAUGUUAGGACUCAAAAACAGAAAGAAGUUCAUUCCAGAUCCAUGAAAAUAUUGGUACCUUCAUUUUUUUUUGCCAUUAUUUCAAAUAUGUUUCAAGUUUUACAAUAACACAUUUAACAAUUACAUUUUUUGAGAUGAGGGUUUUCUAAAUAUGCAUCUCAUUUUAUUAAUAUCUUGUACUUUCCACCUGAACCUAUAUAUCCAAUGGUAUCAAUUUCAACCAACAAAAAAAGGUCUACACAAUUUUAGUUAUCAUUUGAGGUUUAUGUGGCUUUUUGGUCUUUGUCCGAAGUAAAAUAUGACUUCACUUUUGGGACCAAAAUUGACAAAAUAGUUGUAGUGAAGGACAAAAGGCAUAAUUCACGUUUUUAUUUAUUUGUUUAUUUAUUAUUAUUAUUAUUUUUUAAAUAAGGAAAAGAAAUUUGGGUAUUUAAAGAAAAAGGAUUUAAAGACACAAAGAUAAAAAACUUGGUAAUUGCCAUGAAGCUGAGAACCGAGGCCCUCAGAGUAAUCAGAACCAAAUGAUACACCCUCUCUAGGAAAAGCUUCCAACACCGGAAAAUUUUGACCCACAUUGGUCAACCUCCAUAGACCCUUUAGAAGAUUUGGUUUCAAGUGCAGUCAACUAAAUGGAAACAUGCACCCUGAUUUUGCACUCGGUUGUUCCUACAACACAAAUAAACUUUAUUAUUAUAAAGGCAAAGCAUAUACUAAUUGAUAUCAUCAGCUUUAAUAUAACAAGAUAUGUGAAGGAAUCCGCAUUAGUUGAAUUUAUGGAAGAAUGAUUUGAGAUGUUAUGCCAUCCUAUAACAAAUUCAAUCACAAUACACUUAUAAUCAUUAAAUGCUUCCUUGAUCCAAUGUCACUCUGCUAAAAUUAAUACGUAAAAGGUUGGAAUUUGGAAAGGGCUAAUGCCAUAAAAACCCUCAAAUUUUCGAAAAAUGUUUGGUUAUAUCCUAAGUCCAUUUUUAUGUCAACAAAAACCGCACAUUUAAGCAAAAAUUGUUAUAAUUGCACUUUUUUCCGAUUUUACCCUCUAUGACAUUAGGGGGUGUUUGGUUACAAAUCAACACAUGUUAAAGGAUGUUUGGUAUUAGGGGAUGUUUGGGAAAGCACCUCCAGUGCUCGCUGCUUCAAAGAAAUCAGCGGAGAACAAUCAGCAGGAAGGAGGAGGAGGUGAUCGUUAGGAGCACGGUUCUUCUUCUUCUUCUUCGAAUAUAAUUUCCCGAUCCACCCUGUCGCUGCUUCAUUUUCCCCUCGAUUGGUGGUUGCCGACGACGAGAGAAGGACCACGAAGGGUCACCGGAAGUUGCAGGUCGCCGGAUUAUCCCUGAUGCCAAACAUCCCCUAACAUGUGUCUAUCUGUAACCAAACACCCCCUAAUGCCAUAGAAGGGUAAAAUCGGAAAAGAGGGCAAUAAAACACCGAUUCAAUAUGUAAAACUCCAAUAAGGUUUUAAUGUUUAUUUUUUGGUUGUAUGCCGUAUCAGAAAACUAAAUAUUAUCAACAGAUGUGGUGAAAAUUCAUGCAAAGGCACAACAUUAUUCUAAUUCAAAUAGGACAGAGUUUCCCACUA
Molecule: long non-coding RNA, 1878 nt
Organism: Lactuca sativa (garden lettuce)
Lineage: Eukaryota; Viridiplantae; Streptophyta; Magnoliopsida; Asterales; Asteraceae
Source: RefSeq, a predicted model, not a curated record